RNAcentral lists this ribosomal RNA (261 nucleotides) under uncultured bacterium. RNAcentral's name for it is "partial 16S ribosomal RNA". It matches the Rfam family "Bacterial small subunit ribosomal RNA", at positions 1240 to 1500 of the family's 1533-position model. The record is from RNAcentral.
CAACGAGUCGCAAGCUCGCGAGAGUAAGCUAAUCUCUUAAAGCCGUCUCAGUUCGGACUGUAGGCUGCAACUCGCCUACACGAAGUCGGAAUCGCUAGUAAUCGCGGAUCAGCAUGCCGCGGUGAAUACGUUCCCGGGCCUUGUACACACCGCCCGUCACACCAUGGGAGUUUGUAACGCCCAAAGUCGGUGGCCUAACCUUUAUGGAGGGAGCCGCCUAAGGCGGGACAGAUGACUGGGGUGAAGUCGUAACAAGGUAAC